CGGCACUUGCACAUGGGUUAGU
This 22-nucleotide small nuclear RNA is filed under the name Arabidopsis thaliana (thale cress). RNAcentral describes it as "snRNA_03987". Lineage: Eukaryota; Viridiplantae; Streptophyta; Magnoliopsida; Brassicales; Brassicaceae. The record is from RNAcentral.